GACGAACGCUGGCGGCGUGCUUAACACAUGCAAGUCGAACGGCAACGCCCUGCUUGUGUGGGGUUCUCGAGUGGCGAACGGGUGAGUAACACGUGAGUAACCUGACCUUGACUUUGGGAUAACUUCAGGAAACUGGGGCUAAUACCGGAUAGCAUCUCCUGCUGCAUGGUGGGGGUUGGAAAGUUUCGGCGGGUGGGGAUGGACUCGCGGCUUAUCAGCUUGUUGGUUGGGUAGUGGCUUACCAAGGCUUUGACGGAUAGCCGGCCUGAGAGGGUGACCGGCGACAUUGGGCCUGAGAUAGGGAGCAGAGUCGUACGGGAGACAGCAGUGGGGAAUAUUGCACAGUGAGCGGGAGCCUGAUGCAGCAACGCCGCGUGCGGGAUGACGGCCUUCGGGUUGUAAACCGCUUUCGGCUGUGACGAAGCUGGUGUGACGGUAAUGGAUAAAGAAGCACCGGCUAACUACGUG
This 468-nucleotide ribosomal RNA is filed under the name uncultured bacterium. Its description in RNAcentral is "partial 16S ribosomal RNA". It matches the Rfam family "Bacterial small subunit ribosomal RNA", at positions 28 to 507 of the family's 1533-position model. The record is from RNAcentral.